GGACGAACGCUGGCGGCGUGCUUAACACAUGCAAGUCGAGCGGUAAGGCCCUUUCGGGGGUACACGAGCGGCGAACGGGUGAGUAACACGUGGGUGACCUGCCCUCAGCUCUGGGAGUAAGCCUGGGAAACCGGGUCUAAUACUGGAUAUGACUCCAUGACGCAUGUUGUGGGGUGGAAAGACCUUGUGCGGCCGAGGAUGGGCCCGCGGCCUAUCAGCUUGUUGGUGGGGUGAUGGCCACCAAGGCGACGACGGGUAGCCGGCCUGAGAGGGCGACCGGCCACACUGGGACGUGAGACACGGCCCAGACUCCUACGGGAGGCAGCAGUGGGGAAUCUUGCGCAAUGGGCGAAAGCCUGACGCAGCGACGCCGCGUGAGGGAUGACGGCCUC
Molecule: ribosomal RNA, 392 nt
Filed under: uncultured bacterium
Lineage: Bacteria
Description: bacterial SSU rRNA
Rfam family: Bacterial small subunit ribosomal RNA
Source: RNAcentral